This 468-nucleotide ribosomal RNA is filed under the name uncultured bacterium. Its description in RNAcentral is "partial 16S ribosomal RNA". It matches the Rfam family "Bacterial small subunit ribosomal RNA", at positions 28 to 507 of the family's 1533-position model. The record is from RNAcentral.
GACGAACGCUGGCGGCGUGCUUAACACAUGCAAGUCGAACGGAAAGGCCCUGCUUUUGUGGGGUGCUCUAGUGGCGAACGGGUGAGUAACACGUGAGUAACCUGCCCUUGACUUUGGGAUAACUUCAGGAAACUUGGGCUAAUACCGGAUAGGAGCUCCUGCUGCAUGGUGGGGGUUGGAAAGUUUCGGCGGUUGGGGAUGGACUCGCGUCUUAUCAGCUUGUUGGUGGGGUAGUGGCUUACCAAGGCUGUGACGGGUAGCCGGCCUGAGAGGGUGACCGGACAAAUUGGGCCUGGGAUACGGCCCAGACUACUACGGGAGGCAGCAGUGGGGAAUAUUGCACAAUGGGCGGAAGCAUGAUGCAGCCACGCCGCGUGCCGGAUGACAGCCUUCGGGUUGGAAACCGCUUUCGCCUGUGACGAAGCGUGAGUGACGGUAAUGGGUAAAGAAGCACCGGCUAACUACGUG